RNAcentral lists this ribosomal RNA (702 nucleotides) under Hypogymnia pulverata. RNAcentral describes it as "partial small subunit ribosomal RNA". It matches the Rfam family "Bacterial small subunit ribosomal RNA", at positions 492 to 1087 of the family's 1533-position model. Lineage: Eukaryota; Fungi; Ascomycota; Lecanoromycetes; Lecanorales; Parmeliaceae. The record is from RNAcentral.
CUUGACCCAAAUUACGUGCCAGCAGUCGCGGUAAUACGUAGAAGACUAGUGUUAUUCAUGUUUAAUCGGUUUAAAGGGGACCUAGACGGUAAAUCAAGCCUAAAAUUAAGUUAAAGGACUAAUUUACUAGAGUUACUUAUGAGGGGGUAUUAAAGUACUGCUGGUGUAGAGAUGAAAUUCUGUCAUACCUCUUUUCAAUAGAAAAAWAACGGCACAGGUAUAGGCGAAAGCAUCCCCUUAUGUGAUAACUGACGUUGAGGGACGAAGGCUUUGUGUAGCGAACAGGAUUAGAUACCCCCGUAGUCAAAGCAGAAAAUGAUGAAUGUCAUAGAUUAGAUAAAUAAGUUUAUUCUAUAAAUGAAAGUGUAAGCAUUCCACCUCAAGAGUAAUUUGGCAACAUUGGAACUGAAAUCAUUAGACCGUUUCUGAAACCAGUAGUGAAGUAUGUUGUUUAAUUUGAUGAUCCGCAAAAAACCUUACCACAAUUUGAAUAUUUAUAUCUUUUAUUGUUUUUUUUUUAUUUUUCUUCUGAUUUUCAUUGUAUGAUUUUCUUCUUAUUCUAUAUGCAUGCACAUGCACAUGCAAAAGAAUAAGAAAAAAAAACAAUUGAUCAUUAUAUCAUAAUAAAAAGAGGCGAUAUGAUAUAUUUACUAGCGUUGCACGGCUGUCUUCAGUUAAUGUCGCGAGACUUUGGUUAGUUCC